AUUGAACGCUGGCGGCAUGCCUUACACAUGCAAGUCGAAUGGCAGCACGGGAGCUUGCUCCUGGUGGCGAGUGGCGAACGGGUGAGUAAUACAUCGGAACGUACCCCUGAAGUGGGGGAUAACGUAGCGAAAGUUACGCUAAUACUGCAUAUUCUGUGAGCAGGAAAGAGGGGGAUCGCAAGACCUCUUGCUUUAGGAGCGGCCGAUGUCGGAUUAGCUAGUUGGUGAGGUAAAGGCUCACCAAGGCGACGAUCCGUAGCGGGUCUGAGAGGAUGAUCCGCCACACUGGGACUGAGACACGGCCCAGACUCCUACGGGAGGCAGCAGUGGGGAAUUUGGACAAUGGGCGCAAGCCUGAUCCAGCCAUGCCGCGUGAGUGAAGAA
Molecule: ribosomal RNA, 384 nt
Filed under: uncultured bacterium
Lineage: Bacteria
Description: bacterial SSU rRNA
Rfam family: Bacterial small subunit ribosomal RNA
Source: RNAcentral